Molecule: long non-coding RNA, 3589 nt
Organism: Mirounga angustirostris (Northern elephant seal)
Lineage: Eukaryota; Metazoa; Chordata; Mammalia; Carnivora; Phocidae
Exons: 5
Source: RefSeq, a predicted model, not a curated record
GUGGGGCCCCGGGACGUGGGUUUUAACAAGCCCCUGGGAUUUUCUGACAUUCAGUCAAGUUUGAGCACUGUCCAGAAGGCCAUGGGGAGCCCCCGAGGAGUCGGGCUAGGGCGCUGGAAAGGCCGCCCAGAGUGUUCUUCAGGUUGGGGCGCCCCGCCCCGUCCUCCCGCCAGGCCCCGCCCCGCCCCGCCCCGUCUGCGCCUGCGCCGGCCGGCUGCUCUCCCCACCCUACCCCCCGCCCCUCCGCGGAGCCGGGGUCGCCGAGGGGUAGCGUUGCAGCAGCCAGUCCCGCAUUCCUCUCACUUCCCGCCAUUGUCCCUGGUUCCUGUGGCCGCGUCUCCGCACUCGACCCGGCCGCCCCUUGGCCCCGAGGAGUGGUUCCAGAGAGGCAGGGAAACUCACUCCAGUCCAGGUAUUUCAGGUUAUUUCACAAGACCAGGGCCAUCCAAGGGCGCCUUCCUUUAGGAAACACAGAAGGAGUCAUGCGAAGGCCACACAGUGAGCUGGGACUCACACCACACCCGUCCUACCUCACACCUCUUCACUUCCUUCCAUGCUGAAUGCGACCUGCAGGGCCCAGCAUCUGAAAUGGUGAAAGGACUCACAGGGUUCUGCCGCUGGAAACGCCCAGCCCUAUCCGCUUGGAUGUGUCCACCACACUUAAGAGGAAUCCUGGGGUCAUCUGACUGGCUCACUUGGUAGAGCACGCGACUCCUGAUUUCAGCCUGUGCAUGUAUUAACUCCCUCGUUUUGAACUUGAAGAGAUACAUGUGAAGAUGGUACUUGGCUGGUCAUGAGAUGGGAAAAUAGCAAGAUUCCUUGAGGUUCUUCCAGCUGGAGGGCCCAGAGUUCCUGCUGGGUGCGGAGGUGUCCCCUUGGUCCUCAAGACUGUCUGGGCACCACCUCCCCACCCAAACUUCCCCAUGUCUGCCACUGGGGGUCUGUGCAGGGUUGUGCGGACAGCUCUGCAGCCUUGGGCAAACCAGAGGCCCUUCUCUGGGUCCAGUUUUACUCCUCCGCCAAGACGGGGAUCGACUGAGUUGCCUUCCAGGUCUCACCCCACUUCCUGGGCUCUCUGGUGAUGAGCCAGCGGGGCACCUCCUGCAGCUCACUCUUGCCUGGGAGGAGGGGGCAGGGAAGGAGCCCGGGCCGCCUGCCAGGCUCCCUGAAGGGUGGGAAAUGAGUCGGCAAGGAAACUAGAAUUUGCUGUUAAUCCAAGCACGAGUAAGGGCAAGACGGUUGCCAAAAAGAGGCUGUUUCUACUCCGAGCAGCAAGAAGGUUUGGGAGGGAAGCCCGCACCAAGAGACCAGAGCCAGGACUCCUCACCCUUCCUGCGGCCACCUCCUGCUCCAUCUCCCACUUCCUCGUCCUCCCUUCUCUCGGACACACUUUUCCAAAGAGCAUCUACACGCCCUGCUGUCAUCUCAUUUACCCUUUCACUCUUGCAGGGGAGUUCCCGCCCCUGCUCUCCUGUCCCUGAUCUCGGCCUGCAUCCCCCACUACCAUGACCGUGACCAUGACCGUGACUGUUCUGCUCUGUAGCAGCUGACCUAUCUGACCACUAUCCAACACACCCUCUGUCUUCCUCUGAUCUCCAGCCCUUCCCACUCACUCUUCAACAUGGGGGUUCUCCCAGACGUGCUUCAACUCUCCAUCCUUCCCACCCGCCCCUAGCCUCUCCUUCCCUCCCAGGGCUUCACCAGACUCCCAAGACUGCAUUCAGCAAACGCCACUCUUCCGAGCCCCUGGAUCCCUAAGAGCCCUGACCUCCCACCACUUCCUCAGGGGGGCCGCAGCCCCUCAGAUGCAAGAUGCCACAGCCCGUCAUCUCAUCCUCUUUCUCCCCUAACCCGAUCGCCUUCUGCAGGCACCGCCCUUCGCCUGGUUGCUAGGGCAGAAGUAUCCGAUGCAUUCAGAUGUCCCCCAUGGCUGCCCAGCCCCUCUCCCACACCCUCCUACUCCUCCUCCAGAGCCUCUCCUACCGCCUAAAUGGUUCUCAGCUGCAGCAGCCCCACAAUUCUCAGUUCCGGCCCUCAUUUCCUCUCACCAGACCCUUUCUCCACAGAGUGGCCCGGGAGACUGCUUUAAAUACAAAUCAGAUCAUGACACCAUCUGCUCGAAGCUCUGCAUGGCUCCCCAUGGCUCUUGGGAACAGUGCACACCCCUUAGCCUUGUAGACCCACGACUGAGCCCUUCUCUGCCCCUCCAUCUCCCUCCCCUUCCAACUCUCACCUAUAUAAUUUGUCUUCAAUGAUUUGUUUUAUUUAUUUAUUUAUUUAUAGAGAGGGAGAGGGGGGUGGGGCAAAGAGAGAGAGAGACUCCUAUGCAGGCUCCACGCCCAGAACGGAGCCGUAGGAGGGGCUCAGUUUCACAACCCUGAGACCAUGACCUGAGCCGAAAUCAAGAGUCGGACGCUUAACAGGCUGAACCACCCAGGUGCCCCUGUCUUCAAGAUUUGACAAAUGGUUUUAUUAAAGUGUACUUUAUAUGUAAUAAAAGUCACUCAUUCUAGGUGUAGAGCUUGAAUGUGGGUGAUUGAGUACAGUUAUAUGCACGUUGCUAUUACCCUGAAGGUCCCCUUGGGUCCCUUUGCAGCCCCUCUCCCCAGCCCCAGGCAGCCAUGGAUUUGCAUCAUGUCAUUAUCGCUUUGUCUUCUCCAGAAUUUUACAUAAACGAAAUGAUGCCAUUUGUAAUCAAUCUGUGUUUGACUUCCUACAUUCAGCCUGAUGUUGUGGGAUCUGUAUAUACUACUGCAUGUGUUAACAUGUCAUUCUUUUGGGCGCCUGGGUGGCUCAGUUGGUUAAGCAACUGCCUUCGGCUCAGGUCAUGAUCCUGGAGUCCCUGGAUCGAGUCCCGCAUCGGGCUCCCUGCUCGGCAGGGAGUCUGCUUCUCCCUCUGACCCUCCCCCCUGUCAUGUGCUCUCUCUCAUUCUCUCUCUCUCAAAUAAAUAAAUAAAAUCUUUAAAACAAAACAAAACAAAACAUGUCAUUCUUUUUAUGGUUGAGCAGGAUCCCUUCGUAUGAAUAUACUACAACUGGUUUAUCUGUUCAUCUGUCAGGGGACAUUUGCUCUAUCAUUUUUGGCUAAUAUGAAUAAUGAUGCUGUGAACAUCGCCGUACUAGUCUUUGUAGAGACCUGUUUUAAUUUCUCUUGGUAAAUACCUAGGAGUGAGAUGGCUGGGGCGCAUGGCGAGGGUGUGUUUAAUUUUAUAGGGCCCUUUCAUACCGCUCUCCGAAGUGGCCAGAGUAUUUUACAUUCCCACCAACAGCAUAUGAAUGCUCCAGUCCCCCCCAUAUCCAAUGGUCAGUUCUGUCUCACAUUAGCCAUUCUAAAGGGCAUGCAGUGGCACAUCAUCUCCUGAUGACCACUCACGCUCACGGACUUCUCGUGUGUGUUCUGGCUGUUCUUACGUCUUCUUUGGGGUGCGCCUGUUAAAAUCUUUUGCCCAUUUCUUAAAAAGAUUUUAUUUUUAAGUAAUCUCUACACCCAACACGGGGCUCGAACCUACAACCCCACGAUCACGUUGCAUAUUCUACCGACUGAGCCAGCCAGGCGCCCCUUGCCUGUUUUUUAUUGGGCUCUUGCUCU